Molecule: ribosomal RNA, 499 nt
Filed under: uncultured bacterium
Lineage: Bacteria
Description: partial 16S ribosomal RNA
Rfam family: Bacterial small subunit ribosomal RNA
Source: RNAcentral
GAUGAACGCUGGCGGCGUGCCUAAUACAUGCAAGUCGAGCGAACAGACGAGAGUGCUUGCACUCUCUGACGUUAGCGGCGGACGGGUGAGUAACACGUGGGUAACCUACCUAUAAGACUGGGAUAACUUCGGGAAACCGGAGCUAAUACCGGAUAAUAUUUAGCUUCGCAUGAAGCAAUAGUGAAAGAUGGUUCUGCUGUCACUUAUAGAUGGACCCGCGGUGUAUUAGCUAGUUGGUGAGGUAACGGCUCACCAAGGCAACGAUACAUAGCCGACCUGAGAGGGUGAUCGGCCACACUGGGACUGAGACACGGCCCAGACUCCUACGGGAGGCAGCAGUAGGGAAUCUUCCGCAAUGGACGAAAGUCUGACGGAGCAAUGCCGCGUGAGUGAAGAAGGUUUUCGGAUCGUAAAACUCUGUUGUAAGGGAAGAACAAGUACGUUAGUAACUGAACGUACCUUGACGGUACCUUACCAGAAAGCCACGGCUAACUACGUG